Long non-coding RNA from Gallus gallus (chicken), 805 nucleotides. RefSeq lists it as uncharacterized. Lineage: Eukaryota; Metazoa; Chordata; Aves; Galliformes; Phasianidae. The transcript is spliced from 3 exons. The record is from RefSeq and is a predicted model, not a curated record.
CUUUAAAAUUCUGAGGUAAAUUACAGCAGAAAUUUUGUUCACAUCCAUACAUCUCUGGUACUAUCUUCCCAUAGAAGGAAAUCAGCGACUUGAAUUAAUCUAUCAAAGGCCUGCUUGCAAAAAUUGUUUCAUACCUCAAGUCCCUGUCAAAGGGAUAAUGCCAGAAGGAAAAUGAAGUCCAUCAUAAAUAUGACUUGAUUUGGAUGAUACUCAGAACAAUAUCAGCCCCAGCAUUCUCUGAAGGUCUUCAGCACAGAAGACUUUGGACAUCAUCCAGCUCCAUGAUGGCAGCAACCAGCUAUGAACCACAAGGCUGAGUAAAGUGAGGGCUGCACAUUGGCUAAAGUGUUCCUGAAGCACCCCCUCAAACUCACCCAAAACACAGACAAAAAGUCUAGCACCAAAUCCCACAGGUGGUCCAUGGGAGGCAAAUUGUCCUCAGUGAAGAAGGCAUUUCAGUUCCCAAAUGGGUCAUAACUGCACAGGAUGUGACCUGUAGGGAACCUGUGCAUCAUCUCCCUCUUAACAACAGGCUUUCCGACCAUGAUGUAAUAGAGAGAACAUACUUCUGCAGUGUUUCCUGGUGGUACCAUUAAAAAGACAAAUGGCAAUAGCCAUUUGGGAUAUGUAUGCCUCUUCUUCUUUUCUCUGAAUUGCUCUCCAUAGGAGUUAGGCUACAAAAUCUGCAUCACGGGAGCAGGUGAACAUGAAGGCAAGAAAGGCACAGUGUAAGUAUAUAUUAAUAUAUCCUACUGGUGCUGAGAAGCAAGUAACCAUUUGAUUUGCUGAGCACUGCCUAUGGGGG